This 1473-nucleotide ribosomal RNA is filed under the name Triticum aestivum (bread wheat). RNAcentral describes it as "partial small subunit ribosomal RNA". Lineage: Eukaryota; Viridiplantae; Streptophyta; Magnoliopsida; Poales; Poaceae. The record is from RNAcentral.
AUGCGUGCGCGUAUUCGGGACGCACGACGGAGCGAGCUCACAACCGCCGUCAGAAUCAAAAUUUUUGCUUGGCGGCUAGCCAAGACAUCGAUCCCCACAGGCGAGGUGAGGAAGGAGAGGAAGAUGACGGACUCGGCGGCUUGCCCACUUUGCCAAGCGACAGUGGAUACGUGGAGACACUCUCUGUUUGAUUGCCAUAUGUCACGUUGUGUCUGGGCUCUGGCUGAUGAGGAACUGAUAGAAGUAAUGAUCUCAAACCAAAUAGAGGAUGCUCGUUUGUGGAUGUUCUGGCUACUGGAUACUCUAAAAGAGCAACAAGUUGUUCAGAUUUUGAUCACAAUGUGGGCCAUAUGGUGGGCGCGGCGCCGUGCUAUCCAUGAUGAGCAGUACCAAAGCCCCUUGAGCACUUCGGUUUUCAUCAACAAAUUUCUGUCCGAUCUUGAUUGCAUGGCUGUGCACAAGACACGCAUGAGGGACUUGCAUGCAAAGCCAAAGGACCUGCAUGUAACAGCGGGAAACUCGAGGACCAGAGCGACAUCACCUGGUUGGCUUCCUCCAACCGAUGCAAAAGCGAAGCUAAACAUUGAUGGAGGCGUGUCCAAAUCAGGUAGAAGGGGUGCAGCAGCUGUGGUCUGUCGUGACAGGGCGGGAGCUUUUCUUGGAGCCUCAGCCAGAGUUUUUGAGGGUCUCACGGAUCCGCCCUCGCUGGAAGCACAAUCAUGCAAUGAAGCCCUUGCUUUGGCGAUGGAUCUCAACCUCAACUCUAUAUGCGUGGCCUUGGAUUGUGCUGUUGUUAUUUCCAUGAUAGGCUCAGAUGUCCCCUGCCAAAACGAGCCCCGUGACUGCUCGACUUCUCCGGCGAGCCACGCGGUGCUCGGGGGUUCCGGCGGACGAGGAGGGGGAGCGCCGCGAGCGGGAGUCCACCCCAGGAGGCUACUGCGUACGCGGGCGGGAUACCCGCCGCGCCGGAGCAGAGGGCAAAGGAGUGGCAUCAACCAGCGGCGACGGCAAGCGCCAGGAUCCGCGGAGGCCGAUGUAGCUCAGCUCUUCUGGCCUCCGCCUGUCGGGCAUUCCACGGAGCGCGGCGGCCGGCGGCCACCGACCAACGGAGGAAGCGCGCCGUCGCUGGCCGGCGGCGAGGGGCGCAUGGCGGAACGGCGGCGGCGGAGGCAGGAGCACUUCCUCCACGCGCGCCGUACUCCGCACGGCAACAGGGCAGGUGCGCGCGCGGCGCGCGUGGGCCCCACCCGCUGUGGCUCGUCGAGCGGGCCCGGUGGCACGCGCCCGGGCCGUUGGAUCGGCCACAGCUGGCACUGGCGGCGAUCCAACGGCUCAGGACGCUCGCACGCGCGCGACGGGGGCGAAGGGAAGGAAAGGAAAGGAGACGACGGAGGCCGCGGGUGCUUUAUUUGCUGCGCCUGCGCCCGCCUGCAAACUCUGCUCUGCUCUGCUGCACAACCGCCCCGCUUUUGA